ACACGUGCUACAAUGGCCGGUACAGACGGACGCAAAGCCGCGAGGCGGAGCAAAUCCGAAAAAGACCGGUCUCAGUUCGGAUUGCAGGACUGCAAUUCGCCUGCAUGAAGUCGGAAUCGCUAGUAAUCGCAGGUCAGCAUACUGCGGUGAAUACGUUCCCGGGCCUU
Molecule: ribosomal RNA, 167 nt
Filed under: uncultured Pelotomaculum sp.
Lineage: Bacteria; Bacillati; Bacillota; Clostridia; Eubacteriales; Desulfotomaculaceae
Description: partial 16S ribosomal RNA
Rfam family: Bacterial small subunit ribosomal RNA
Source: RNAcentral